Molecule: ribosomal RNA, 491 nt
Filed under: uncultured bacterium
Lineage: Bacteria
Description: partial 16S ribosomal RNA
Rfam family: Bacterial small subunit ribosomal RNA
Source: RNAcentral
AGUGAACGCUGGCGGUAGGCCUAACACAUGCAAGUCGAACGGCAGCACAGUAAGAGCUUGCUCUUACGGGUGGCGAGUGGCGGACGGGUGAGGAAUACAUCGGAAUCUACUUUUUCGUGGGGGAUAACGUAGGGAAACUUACGCUAAUACCGCAUACGACCUACGGGUGAAAGCAGGGGAUCUUCGGACCUUGCGCGAUUGAAUGAGCCGAUGUCGGAUUAGCUAGUUGGCGGGGUAAAGGCCCACCAAGGCGACGAUCCGUAGCUGGUCUGAGAGGAUGAUCAGCCACACUGGAACUGAGACACGGCCCAGACGCCUACGGGAGGCAGCAGUGGGGAAUAUUGGACAAUGGGCGCAAGCCUGAUCCAGCCAUACCGCGUGGGUGAAGAAGGCCUUCGGGUUGUAAAGCCCUUUUGUUGGGAAAGAAAAGCAGCAGGUUAAUACCCCGCUGUUCUGACGGUACCCAAAGAAUAAGCACCGGCUAACUUCGU